RNAcentral lists this small RNA (130 nucleotides) under Marmota monax (woodchuck). Lineage: Eukaryota; Metazoa; Chordata; Mammalia; Rodentia; Sciuridae. The record is from RNAcentral.
ACCAGGUGCAGUGGUGCUCGCCUGUAAUCCCAACAGCUUGGGAGGCUGAGACAGGAGGAUUGAAAGUUCAAAGCAAGCCUUAGCAAUGGCGAGGCAAGGUGCUAAGCAACUCAGUGAGACCCUGUCUCUA